UCCUUAGUAGUUCUAUGUCUAUCCAACAUUGGUUUUAAUCUCUGUCGUCCUACAGUUCCAGAAGUCGCAGAGAGUUGGCAGUUUACGUGUUAAUUUCGCACUUUUGCAGCCUCAGCAAUAGCAGAGUAGCAAAGGAUUGUGUAAUUUGUCAAGUCGGACUUGCACUUGUAUUUGGAAUUCAAUUGUUUUAACUGAAGAAGCAGUUCGCUUUGGAGCAGUUUGCAUGUCGCAAGAUUGCAACUGCACUUUCUCUCACUCUUCAUAAUGACUGAUCAAUAUGUAUUUGAGGUACAAUUCAAAGGAAAAAAUGAUAACUCACAAAUUAAGACCAGGGAGAAUCCAUUAUUUGUCAUUAUUGAUGGAGAGUCAAUGACAGAAUUCUCAAAACUUAAAAAAGAUUUGGAAAGACGUGUCCCUCCCGUGCCAUUUAAAGUUCAGUAUGUGGAUGAGGAAGAAGAUGUUGUAAGUAAUGGAUGAACAUUUAUUAAAUCUAUAUAAAUUUUGUAUAGAAUGUUUUCUAUUCUU
This is a long non-coding RNA of Homalodisca vitripennis (glassy-winged sharpshooter), 525 nucleotides long. RefSeq lists it as uncharacterized. NCBI's taxonomy places the organism in Eukaryota, Metazoa, Arthropoda, Insecta, Hemiptera, Cicadellidae. The record is from RefSeq and is a predicted model, not a curated record. The transcript has 3 exons.